This 444-nucleotide ribosomal RNA is filed under the name uncultured bacterium. Its description in RNAcentral is "bacterial SSU rRNA". It matches the Rfam family "Bacterial small subunit ribosomal RNA", at positions 30 to 437 of the family's 1533-position model. The record is from RNAcentral.
AUUGAACGCUGGCGGCAUGCUUUACACAUGCAAGUCGAACGGCAGCACAGCAGAGGUAACUCUGUGGGUGGCGAGUGGCGAACGGGUGAGUAAUACAUCGGAACGUACCCUGUUGUGGGGGAUAACUACGCGAAAGCGUAGCUAAUACCGCAUACGCCCUGAGGGGGAAAGCGGGGGGACCCUAAAUAGAGCGCACUGGGGAGUGCGUUGUAUUUAGGGCCUCGCGCAAUAGGAGCGGCCGAUGUCGGAUUAGCUAGUUGGUGAGGUAAAGGCUUACCAAGGCGACGAUCCGUAGCUGGUCUGAGAGGAUGAUCAGCCACACUGGGACUGAGACACGGCCCAGACUCCUACGGGAGGCAGCAGUGGGGAUUUGGACAAUGGGGGCAACCCUGAUCCAGCCAUGCCGCGUGAGUGAAGAAGGCCUUCGGUUGUAACUGCUUUAUG